GACGAACGCUGGCGGCGUGCUUAACACAUGCAAGUCGAACGGAAAGGCCCUGCUUUUGUGGGGUGCUCGAGUGGCGAACGGGUGAGUAACACGUGAGUAACCUGCCCUUGACUUUGGGAUAACUUCAGGAAACUGGGGCUAAUACCGGAUAGGAGCUCCUGCUGCAUGGUGGGGGUUGGAAAGUUUCGGCGGUUGGGGAUGGACUCGCGGCUUAUCCGCUUGUUGGUGUGGUAGUGGCUUACCAAGGCUUUGACGGGUAGCCGGCCUGAGAGGGUGACCGGCCACAUUGGGACUGAGAUACGGCCCAGACUCCUACGGGAGGCAGCAGUGGGGAAUAUUGCACAAUGGGCGGAAGCCUGAUGCAGCAACGCCGCGUGCGGGAUGACGGCCUUCGGGUUGUAAACCGCUUUCGCCUGUGACGAAGCGUGAGUGACGGUAAUGGGUAAAGAAGCACCGGCUAACUACGUG
RNAcentral lists this ribosomal RNA (468 nucleotides) under uncultured bacterium. Its description in RNAcentral is "partial 16S ribosomal RNA". It matches the Rfam family "Bacterial small subunit ribosomal RNA", at positions 28 to 507 of the family's 1533-position model. The record is from RNAcentral.